This 634-nucleotide ribosomal RNA is filed under the name Microbotryum jehudanum. RNAcentral's name for it is "partial large subunit ribosomal RNA". It matches the Rfam family "Eukaryotic large subunit ribosomal RNA", at positions 37 to 668 of the family's 3401-position model. Lineage: Eukaryota; Fungi; Basidiomycota; Microbotryomycetes; Microbotryales; Microbotryaceae. The record is from RNAcentral.
UGCAUAUCAAUAAGCGGAGGAAAAGAAACUAACAAGGAUUCCCCUAGUAACGGCGAGUGAAGCGGGAAAAGCUCAAAUUUGUAAUCUGGCGCCUUUGGCGUCCGAGUUGUAAUCUCGAGAAGUAUUUUCCGCGCUGGACCGCACAUAAGUCUGUUGGAAUACAGCGUCAUAGUGGUGAGAACCCCGUAUAUGGUGCGGAUGCCCAGUGCUUUGUGAUAUACUUUCGAAGAGUCGAGUUGUUUGGGAAUGCAGCUCAAAUUGGGUGGUAAAUUCCAUCUAAAGCUAAAUAUUGGCGAGAGACCGAUAGCGAACAAGUACCGUGAGGGAAAGAUGAAAAGCACUUUGGAAAGAGAGUUAACAGUACGUGAAAUUGUUGGAAGGGAAACGCUUGAAGUCAGACUUGCAUUUUGGAGUUCAGCCGCAAGGUGUAUUCUCCAAUUCGCAGGCCAGCAUCAGUUUUCGGGGGUGGAAAAUCGCGGUUUGAAGGUAGCAGUCUCGGCUGUGUUAUAGCUUUCCGCUGGAUUCACUUUUGGGGACUGAGGAACGCAGUACGCUUUUUGCAAGAUUCUAGAGUCUUUCGUACUUAGGAUGCUGGUGGAAUGGCUUUAAACGACCCGUCUUGAAACACGGACCA